CGCCCUGUCAUCAUUAUAAAUUGAGUUAUUUUACUUCCUCAUGGUACAUAUUUUCCAACAAAUGAAUCAAAUAAGGAUUUUUUGGACUACAUUCUUGUUUUGCUGUUUUCCGGUUUAUUUUUCAACAUUAUGCAGUUAAAUUUGGAUCGAUCAGUAAGAACAACUAGAGAUUUAUUGGAACUCCAUUGAAACAACAAAUAUUUUGCUAUGGAUUUGGUUUGCUUUUUAGACCUUCAAAGUUUGGAACGUUACAGUCUACAGUUAAUUAAGAUCGACGCUGGAGAAGACAAAGAAGACCCCGUAGUUAAAAUAGAUCUUUUAUACUGCAUGCUCUAUCUGAUAGUAAUAAUUCUUUUAGUCCAAAUUCAAAUUAAUUUUUUAUUUUGUAGUUAAUUUGAAUUAGUUUUUAUUUUGCACA
Molecule: long non-coding RNA, 418 nt
Organism: Agrilus planipennis (emerald ash borer)
Lineage: Eukaryota; Metazoa; Arthropoda; Insecta; Coleoptera; Buprestidae
Exons: 3
Source: RefSeq, a predicted model, not a curated record